This 229-nucleotide ribosomal RNA is filed under the name uncultured bacterium. RNAcentral's name for it is "partial 16S ribosomal RNA". It matches the Rfam family "Bacterial small subunit ribosomal RNA", at positions 568 to 796 of the family's 1533-position model. The record is from RNAcentral.
CUUGUAGGCGGCAUGACAAGUCUGGUGUGAAAUAUCUCGGCUCAACCGAGAAAACGCACUGGAAACUGUCAAGCUUGAGUAUCGGAGGGGAAGCUAGAAUUCCUGGUGUAGGGGUGAAAUCUGUAGAUAUCAGGAAGAAUACCGGUGGCGAAGGCGAGCUUCUGGCCAGAUACUGACGCUGAGAUGCGAAAGCGUGGGGAGCGAACAGGAUUAGAUACCCUGGUAGUCC